RNAcentral lists this unclassified non-coding RNA (148 nucleotides) under soil metagenome. RNAcentral describes it as "partial internal transcribed spacer 1". The record is from RNAcentral.
CAGGAGUUGCAAAACUCCCUAACCAUUGUGAACCGUACCUGCUAACGUUGCUUCGGCGGGCGGGCCCUCCCCCCGGCCCCGCGGCCCGCCGGAGGAAUCCCAAACUCUUGUAUUAUUGGCCUCUCUGAGUAGUCUUACUAAUAAGUCA